RNAcentral lists this long non-coding RNA (432 nucleotides) under Androctonus crassicauda. The record is from RNAcentral. Lineage: Eukaryota; Metazoa; Arthropoda; Arachnida; Scorpiones; Buthidae.
GAAGAUUUCCAACUUAUGAUGAUCCGUACUUACGACUGUGAUUAUUUACAACAAAAAUCCAUACUUACGACAGCCACAGUCAAUGAUUUUACAGUAAUUUACAACCCAAUCAACCAGAUAACUGAAAUGUUGCCAGAAUGGAAGUAUAAUGUAUUUUCACGAUAUAGUACAAUAUUCAUAUUUAGUUUUAGAUCUCAUAUCUUGGGAUUUUUCAAGUGUCCAGCUACUCCCCAUUCAUUCCCCUACUAAAUGCAUCAUAGCAUGGAAUUUGGAUUCCAAAUAUUUCUGAAAAGUUUUUGAUGGAUACAGCCCAGACAUUAAUUCACAUACUGUAAAAUCACUGGCUCUACCACUGAUGUAGACAAUUCAUAAUUGGGCCUGGAAUAGAUACCAUUAUAUAGUAGUCAGCCAAUGAUUCAGAAGUGCUAUUAA